This 158-nucleotide ribosomal RNA is filed under the name Micraspis acicola. Its description in RNAcentral is "5.8S ribosomal RNA". It matches the Rfam family "5.8S ribosomal RNA". From Rfam's summary of the family: 5.8S ribosomal RNA (5.8S rRNA) is a component of the large subunit of the eukaryotic ribosome. It is transcribed by RNA polymerase I as part of the 45S precursor that also contains 18S and 28S rRNA. The record is from RNAcentral. Lineage: Eukaryota; Fungi; Ascomycota; Leotiomycetes; Micraspidales; Micraspidaceae.
AAACUUUCAACAACGGAUCUCUUGGUUCUGGCAUCGAUGAAGAACGCAGCGAAAUGCGAUAAGUAAUGUGAAUUGCAGAAUUCAGUGAAUCAUCGAAUCUUUGAACGCACAUUGCGCCCUCUGGUAUUCCGGGGGGCAUGCCUAUUCGAGCUUCAUUA